GUUGAACGCUGGCUGCAGGCCUAACACAUGCAAGUCGAGCGAACGGCUGACGGGUGAGUAAUUUAUGCGUACUGCCCGAUCGAUGGGGAUGGCUUCUGGAAUCGGUAGCUAAUACCGCAUACUAUCGGAUAACCCAUAUGGGAUUAGCUAGUAGGUGAGGUAAUGGCUCACCUAGGCGACGAUCCCUAGGUGGUCUGAGAGGAUGAUCAGCCACACUGGGACUGAGACACGGCCCAGACUCCUACGGAGGAAGCAGUGGGGAAUAUUGCACAAUGGGCGCAAGCCUGAUGCAGCCAUGCCGCGUGUAUGAAGAAGGCCCUAGGGUUGUAAAGUACUUUCAGUCGGGAGGCGUUACCGACAGAAGAAGCACCGGCUAACUCCGUGCCAGCAGCCGCGGUAAUUC
RNAcentral lists this ribosomal RNA (403 nucleotides) under uncultured bacterium. RNAcentral's name for it is "partial 16S ribosomal RNA". It matches the Rfam family "Bacterial small subunit ribosomal RNA", at positions 28 to 526 of the family's 1533-position model. The record is from RNAcentral.